UUUUUUUUUUUUUUGGUCAUCACCCACUCACAGAGAAAAAAGUUAGUUUCAUUUAAGAAUGCCCUUGAUGAAACAGUAAAAACCAAUAAUUUUAUUAGCCAUCCACACCAGAAUCCAUGCAUGUUUCACACAGUGUGCAAUGAAGUGGGAGGUCUACACAGAUCCCUUACGGAGCAGAUCGAAGCACAAGAACACUGGAGGGAAAGGACUUGUGCUAUGGUUUAUACUAAGAUCUAGCUUCAGCUUUUUUUUUUCCUCCCUGGGACAGCAUUUUUACUGUGGGAAAUCAGCAAAUCAGCUUCAAAAAAAACAACUGACAGACAAACUAUGGUUUUAAGACUUGGGAAUUUAGCAGCCAUUGUCUCAAAAAUAAAGUAAGCUGGUCACUUAAAGAAAAACAACUGAUGUUUUUUGAUAGCAAUAAAAUGAGCUUUCAAGGAAGAAAAAAAGAAUGUUGGAAAACUUGUAUCUGCAACCAUGAACUUAAAAAUCCUAUUUACAAAUGUGAUGUUUUUGAUAUUAAACAGUGAAAUGUGUCAGCAUGUAGAACAUCUGUGUAACUCAGUGAGCCAAUAUUUUCCAAAUGACCACAGCUUUUUACAUGAGUAGGAGAGCCAUUUAGCAUAUAAAAAAGCUCAGGGAAUUUUAAUAUUACAGAACAAAAAGUCAUUGAUAGCAGAUUCCAUAGCAUGCUUUACCUUUAAGAGAAAAGAAUGAGUUUUGAUAUCAAAUCAAAGAAUAUUGACACCCUUUCAAAAAAAGCAAUAAAAAUAUUCCUCACUUUCCCAACUAUAAGUGUGUGUGAGUCUGAAUUUUCUCUAUAUACUUAAAUGAAAACAACAUAUUGCAGGUAAUAGGAUACAGAAGCAGAUAUAAGAAACUAGCUGUAUUCAAGAAACCAGCUAUAUUUUAAGACAGACAUUGAAGAGAUUUGCAAAAAAUGUAAAACAAUAUCACUCUUCUUUCAUUUAACUUCCUUUUAAUAUCUUCAUUUAAUUUCUUAAAUUUAAGACAUCACUACCUAUAUCUCCUCGAGGUAGAUGGUAUAGAAAUGAUAAAUAUUCACUAAUAUCCAUAUAAUACACAUAAUUUAAGUAUGUAUUUAUAUUCUAAUAAAGAAUAUUCAUAUUAAAAACAUUCUUUUAAGUUUAGUAUAGUUGUCAUAAAAAUGCAUCGUAAAUACAUUAUUCAUUUUAACUUGUACUGAAUGUAGUUUAUUUUAAAAUAAAUUCAUAAAUUUUUAAAUUUCUGAGUUUAACUUUUAGUAUGGCAAAUACAGAUAUCUGUAAAUCCACAUAAAUAAAAACUUUUGGGGGUUCUCAACACUUUUUAAGAGUGUAAAGGGGCAUCUACAUUAAAAAGAUACAGAAAUGUUCAUUCAGCACAAUCCUUCAUUUUUUAGCUGAGGAAACUAUAGUAAAACAUGGAGAUUGUGAUCAACAUUAUCCAAAUCACAAUUAGUAGACAUGCUAAGACAAAAUCAAGGUUUUCUGAGUUCUGGUUAUAUUGGUAUCCUAAGGCUGUCCUCACAAAGCACCAAAAACUGGUGGCUUGACAGAAACACAUUGUUUCACAGUUUUUGGAAACUAGAAAUCUGAGAUUGGGGUGUCAGCACAUUUGGUUGCUUCCGAGGGCUGUGAAGGAGAAUCAAUUUCAAGCGUCCCUCCUGGCUUCUGAUGGUUCGUGGUUAAUCUUUGUCCUUGGCUUUUAGAGGCAUCACCCUAAUCUCUGCCUUCAUGUUCGCAUGGCAUUCUCCCCUGUGAGCAUAUCUGUGUCCAAAUACCCCCUUUUAUAAAGACACUAGUCAUAUUAGACUGAGGACCCACCUUCCUCCAGUCUGAUCUCAUCUUAACAAAUGACAUCUGCGAUGACCGUUUUUACAAAUAAGGUUAUAUUCUGAGGUGCUAGGGGUUAGGAUGUCAGCACAUGAACUUUGGAGGACACCAUUCAACCCAUAAUACCAGUCCAGUGCAUUCUCCCCUCAAUCCUCCUGUAUAUCAAGGAGUAUUCUCUUUUCUAAUUUCCUUUCUUUUCUCUCUCCUGUAUUCCACUCUCAUAGUCUUCCUCUAUACUUAUAUGAAAUGCAUAUAUGGAAAAUUGAAUCCUCAGGAAAGCAAUCAUUAUAAUGGAAAUAGAAAUUCAAAGUCAAGUUGGCUGCAAAGAGGAAGUGCAACAGAAAAUCAUCCUGUGAUGAUUUCAAUAAACAGAGGUGAAGACAGGUAACAUCUCAGGAAAUUAAAGAGAUAUCUCAGAAAGCUAUCAAAUUUGUGAAGGAAGAUCACAAAAUAUUAUCUCAUGCAUUUACAAAAUAUUAAAACUUCAUAUGUAAGGGAAAUGUGAUUUAUCAAAAAAUCCUUAGGUAGCUAGACUGAAGUUUGAAUUCCAAUCAUGUGCCUUUUCUCUCCACUGACUAUGAUUUUGGACAUUAGUGAAAUGCAUUCUUUACCUGAAAUGCUGGAGGUACUGCUGGAAAAAGUGAUAGGUUCUUUUCCCAACUGUGAUAGAACUUGGCUCUCAGUCCCCAAAAGACUGUGCAAAGUAUACACCAAAGUAAACUGACAAAAAAACCUUAUGGAAUCGAAAUCACUCAAUGUGACACUCUAUUGGUCUGAGUUCUCCCAAGAAACAGAACUAUAGGAAUAGGAGAUUUUAUAUAUUUAUAGUUAAAGGACUUUCUCAUGAGGAACUGGCUCACAUGAUUAUGGAGGCUGAGAGUCUCAAGACCUGCAGUUAACAAGCAGGAACUCAGCAGAACUGGUGGUGUGGUUCCAGUACAAUGCCAACUACAACGGCAGGAGAUGCCUGAUGUCCCCAAGUGAAGACAAGCAGAGAGAAUAAGUUCUCCCAGACUCAGCCUUUUGUUCUAUUCAGGCUUCAAUGAUCAAUGGAGGAGGCCAUUUGCUUUAUUCAGUCUACUGAUUCAAAUGUUCAUCUCAUUCAAAACACCUCUCACAGACACACCCAGAAUAAUGUUUAACCCAAUACCUGGGCACCCUGUGGCCCAGUCAAGCUGACACACAAAAUCAUCACAGGCAUGUAAUAUUCAACAAUAUUCUGUGUGGAGAGAGAAAGAGAGAGAAUAAUUAUUAAUGUAACAAUUAGAGAGUUUUUAGCCAGAACACUUUAUUAAAAUCUCAGUUUAGAUUUUUCUCCCUUUAUAUGGCCCUCUGCUAACACACACACACACACACAAGCAUUUUUGAAGAAUUUUUACUCAGCAAUUAUUUGGACAGGAAGCAGGAAUAGUUUGAAAAUUUUUGUCUCUUUCUUUUGUAAAAGAUUAAGCACAUGGAAGAGGCUGUGUUAGCCUGCCUGGGAGCAGAGGAGAGAGGAAGAAGGCAAGGAGGACAAUACGGAAGGGAGAGGAAAGAUGCCCUAGACCAGAAGCAGCACACAGAGGUGGAAAUGGAUAUAUAACCUGGCAGAAAACAGGUUAAAAUAAAUAAUUUUAUAUAAAAUAAAUGUAUAAUAUAAUACAAAUUUAUAAACCAACUAAUUUCUGACCCUUUGUCACAGGUAACAUGGGAUUGCAUUCCCUAAAAGAGGAAGAAGCUAGCUGAGCCAACAAUAGCUUUCUGCCUAGAGCAUUUUCCAGCAAGAGCACAAGGAUGAGGAGCCCAAGCAGAAGGAGUUGUGACCCUGAGCUGCAGAGAGGUCAGCCACUGUCCCAUUGGCCCUCAGCAGCUGUGUUUGCCAGCAAUGAGGCAGCUGCACAGGAAGAAAGCUCAAGAAAUCUUCAUGGGGAUACUUAAAUGUACGCUGUGCUCGAAACACUGAGACCACUCUAGAAAUGCCCUCACAGCUUAAAAGCAAGCCCUUAGACUUGGGGGAAAUGUGACAGAAAUUAAAAUAGAUUUGCAGCUAGGAAAAAAAAAAAAUUCCCAAUAUUUCUUCUUUGAUCAGUUGAGAUGCCUAUUUAUACAUUUCCAAACACAUAGACUUUUCUGUUCUCUUUGCCUUGCUGAUCUCUGUAUGGUAUUUGAUUUAUUAUUUUAUUUUAUUUAUUUAUUGCUUUUUAGGGCCGCACCUGCAGCAUAUGGAAGUUCCUAGGCUCGGGGUCAAAUCAGAGCUACAGCUGCCGGCCUACACCACAGCUCACAGCAACACCAGAUCCUUAAUCCACUGAGAGAGGCCAGGGAUCGAACCUCAUGGUUACUAGUAGGAUUCAUUUCCACUUCGCCACAGUGGGAACUCCUGAUAUUUGAUUUAUUGAAAAUACUUUGCAAUUUGUCUUAUGGCUUAGUAUGUUAUCAAUUUUGGCACCUGAUUAAUGUGUGUUUGACAAUAAUGUGGCUAGAGAAUUGUAGUCUGAACUCUCCAUUUUGCCAGUGUAUCUGGUUAUCUAUAAUACUAAAACAUGCAUAUUUGGACUUUAAUGUCAAUAAAAAUCAAUCAUCUUAUGCUUUAGGAAUGGUAUCACCUUUGGUUGUGGAUAGGUUGUAAAUUGGACACAGGAGAGAUGAGCCAUACACUAGCUGCCAAGAUCACACAACCACACUUGCAGGUGCCUUGUCACCUAUAUGCUACCGAUGCCAUUUCCAGUUGUAUCUGGACCACUACCUCAGAAAACACACAAAAAAAGGCCAGAGAAUUAGAAGGCCCACCAACAGAGACAGGGGGUAGGUGUGGUGGACAUUUCACAACAGGGAAAAAAAACUGUUAAGAUAAACUGAAGAUCAGAAGUGUCUGAAGGUUUCCUUAUUACUAAGUUGGCUAAAAUAGUUUAGAAAUAAAGAUGUACAUGAGUAUAAAUCUCCAAAGAGAACUGACUCAGUUUUGCAACUGAGUGGAUAGCAUGCUAAUAUUCUGUGAUGAGAUUCAGUGGAGGAAAGGAAAUCAUUGACCUGGGAGAUGCCUCAUCUUCACUACAGCCCUGGAACCAUCAGCUGAAGAGUGAGAUGGUACGGGGCUGGGAGCAGUAAGACCAAGAAGAUGAGAAGAUGGACCCUGAUGACGAGCUCCUGCUACCCUCAGGACCUUCCAUCAUGGUCUAAGCCGCAUCAGCCAACACAACCGCAAGGAGGCCACAUGUGGCUGUUUAAUUCAAAAUUUAACUUUAAUUAAGAUUUAAUAAAAAUUAAUUUUUUUUCUGUUUUUUAGGGCCACACCCAUGGCAUAUGGAAGUUCCCAGGCUAGGGGUCAAAUCAGAGCUGCAGCAGCUGUCCGGACUACGCCAGAGCCACAGAAACACAGGAUCCAAGCCAUGUCUGCAACCUACACCACAGCUCAAGGCAAUUUGAUUCGUCUCCCC
RNAcentral lists this long non-coding RNA (5251 nucleotides) under Sus scrofa (pig). RNAcentral describes it as "lncRNA (ENSSSCG00030015795.1)". Lineage: Eukaryota; Metazoa; Chordata; Mammalia; Artiodactyla; Suidae. The record is from RNAcentral.